This is a long non-coding RNA of Nothoprocta perdicaria, 669 nucleotides long. RefSeq lists it as uncharacterized. Lineage: Eukaryota; Metazoa; Chordata; Aves; Tinamiformes; Tinamidae. The transcript is spliced from 2 exons. The record is from RefSeq and is a predicted model, not a curated record.
CCAAUCAUUCUCCGGACAGAUCCACAGGGAUUUUUCUUCUACUGGACAGAUCAAAAUAAGAUGAAUUUCCAAUAUUUCUCAUGAAACAAGUGCUCCUUCCUGCCGAAGACUAUCGGGACUUGGUAGUGUUCUAACUUAARUGUUAUGUUGAAACAUAUACCAAAAUGACUGAAUACAUAAUUGUAGUGUCCUGGCUAUAGAGCUCAUUUUACCAGUUCUACAACUCAUUUUCAUAAGUUCCUACUGAUUUUUGUAUUCAGAAAACAAUGCAAAAAAUGCCUGAGGAGGCAGCACCCGUUGACCAUGGAGACUCUUUGGGCUGUCUGCUAUCACACUAGUUUUCAGUCACUAGUCAGUUUUGAUUUUGUGUAUUUGGAAAUCUUAUUGUGGAGUAACAGCAAAAAUUCUGGUUUAUUUUGGUUCUUCUUGUACAAGGUGGUGCUGCUUAAUAGAGUGUUCAAGAGGCUGUUGACAGCCUAGAGUUGUUAAGUGACUGCUCAAAGAAGCAAAGCUUCAAAUCCCAUUAGAAAUUGAAGCAUAUCACUGAUUUACACCAACCAAAGAGCUAAACCAGAACAUGAUGCACUGUUGUAUUUCUCCCUAUGCCUGAACUGAUUGAAUAAGCUGAAAAAUAGUGGAGAACUAUUGAAUAAUAAAUGGAAAAACAGA